This 375-nucleotide ribosomal RNA is filed under the name uncultured organism. Its description in RNAcentral is "partial 16S ribosomal RNA". It matches the Rfam family "Bacterial small subunit ribosomal RNA", at positions 527 to 896 of the family's 1533-position model. The record is from RNAcentral.
GGAGGGGGCAAGCGUUAUUCGGAUUUACUGGGCGUAAAGCGCACGUAGGUGGCAUGAUAAGUCAAAGGUGAAAGCCCUCGGCUCAACCGAGGAAUUGCCUUUGAAACUGUCUUGCUUGAGUCCGGGAGGGGGGAGCGGAAUUCCCAGUGUAGCGGUGAAAUGCGUAGAUACUGGGAGGAACACCGGUGGCGAAGGCGGCUCCCUGGACCGGUACUGACACUGAGGUGCGAAAGCGUGGGUAGCAAACAGGAUUAGAUACCCUGGGUAGUCCACGCCGUAAACGAUGGGCACUAGGUGCAGCGGGUGUCGACCCCCCCUGCUGUGCCGUAGUUAACGCGUUAAGUGCCCCGCCUGGGGAGUACGGUCGCAAGGCUG